AGCCAGCUGGGCUGCUUUUGUCUGGGAAGGCGGACAGCAGUGUCAUUGGUAGCAGACACAGCCUGUUUGUUGCUGCGUGGGUUGCCCUGAGGGACCUUGGGAACAGCA
Molecule: small nucleolar RNA, 108 nt
Organism: Cavia aperea (Brazilian guinea pig)
Lineage: Eukaryota; Metazoa; Chordata; Mammalia; Rodentia; Caviidae
Gene: SNORA70
Rfam family: Small nucleolar RNA SNORA70
About the family: snoRNA U70 seems to be exclusive to mammals and is a member of the H/ACA class of snoRNA which contain H (ANANNA) and ACA box motifs. H/ACA box snoRNAs are involved in the conversion of uridines to pseudouridines (5-ribosyluracil) a constituent of structural RNAs (transfer, ribosomal, small nuclear, and small nucleolar).
Source: Ensembl